GAUGAACGCUGGCGGCGUGCUUAACACAUGCAAGUCGAGCGAGUGAGUUCUUCGGAACGAUCUAGCGGCGGACGGGUGAGUAACACGUGGGCAACCUGCCUCAUAGAGGGGAAUAGCCUCCCGAAAGGGAGAUUAAUACCGCAUAAAAUUAUCGAGUGGCAUCACAUGAUAAUCAAAGGAGUAAUCCGCUAUGAGAUGGGCCCGCGGCGCAUUAGCUAGUUGGUGAGGUAACGGCUCACCAAGGCGACGAUGCGUAGCCGACCUGAGAGGGUGAUGGGCAACAUUGGGAAUGAGAAACGGCCAGACUCCUACGGGGGGCAGCAGUGGGGAAUAUUUGAAAAUGGGGGAAACCCUGAUGCAGCAACGCCGCGUGAGUGAUGAAGGUCUUCGGAUUGUAAAGCUCUGUCUUUGGGGACGAUAAUGACGGUACCCAAGGAGGAAGCCACGGCUAACUACGUGCCAGCCGCCGCCGUAA
RNAcentral lists this ribosomal RNA (475 nucleotides) under uncultured bacterium. Its description in RNAcentral is "partial 16S ribosomal RNA". It matches the Rfam family "Bacterial small subunit ribosomal RNA", at positions 28 to 523 of the family's 1533-position model. The record is from RNAcentral.